Molecule: RNA transcript, 280 nt
Organism: Propithecus coquereli (Coquerel's sifaka)
Lineage: Eukaryota; Metazoa; Chordata; Mammalia; Primates; Indriidae
Gene name: 60S ribosomal protein L39 pseudogene
Exons: 1
Source: RefSeq, a predicted model, not a curated record
CCAUCCUGAUGUGUGUGGUUGACUCCGUUUCUCACCAUGUCUUCUCCCAAGACUUUCAGAAUCAAGUGAUUUCUGGCUAAGAAACAAAAGCAAAAUCGUCCCAUUCCCCAGUGGAUUUGGAUGAAAACUGGUAAUAAAAUCAGAUACAACUCCGAGAGGAGACUUUGGAGAAGAACCAAGCUGGGUCUAUAAGGACUUGCACACGAGAUGAUGGCACACAUAUUUCCGCUGUAUCAAGGUCACUAUCAUCUUACCAUAUCAAGCUGAAAACGUCACUACU